Ziziphus jujuba (common jujube) is the source of this 425-nucleotide long non-coding RNA. RefSeq lists it as uncharacterized. NCBI's taxonomy places the organism in Eukaryota, Viridiplantae, Streptophyta, Magnoliopsida, Rosales, Rhamnaceae. The transcript is spliced from 2 exons. The record is from RefSeq and is a predicted model, not a curated record.
GUCGAAGAAAGGAAAGAAAAAAACAUAUAAAAAAAAAACAUAAGGGGUUCAUAUAUUUGUUCAACCAACAGUUAAUCGUGUUGUCAGCAGGUGAUCCUUGACUACCAUGGCUGAUGUUUAAUUGCUGUGACAAUUUCAAGCCUUUCCAUUUCUGAUGGGGAACAUUGGGUCAAGUCGGGAUUGAUACCAACAGAGGCUUUUGUAGGAGCUGUAAUAUUCUCUAGGAGGUGUAAUAUUCUCUUAUUUUUAUUCAUAAAACACUUAUACAAUUUCCUCUUGCUAAUUCAGAUUUUGUUUUUAGUUUUUGUACUUGAUUCUCGUGUCAAUAUGAUGUGUAAGGAUCCAAUUUCAUUAUUAAAUUCUCCAUAUUAUUUGAUAUGUGGAGAAGCAAUAAAUAAGAAGGAUGAUAAUUUAAAUGGAUGGUA